UGUGUGGCUUAGUGGUAGAGCCUCUGCUUCGCAUGCAGAAGGUCCCAGAUUCAACCCCAAGCAUCUCAG
This 69-nucleotide transfer RNA is filed under the name Sphaerodactylus townsendi. RNAcentral describes it as "tRNA-Ala". Lineage: Eukaryota; Metazoa; Chordata; Lepidosauria; Squamata; Sphaerodactylidae. The record is from RNAcentral.